Penaeus monodon (black tiger shrimp) is the source of this 120-nucleotide small nuclear RNA. RefSeq annotates it as U5 spliceosomal RNA. The transcript has a single exon. Lineage: Eukaryota; Metazoa; Arthropoda; Malacostraca; Decapoda; Penaeidae. The record is from RefSeq and is a predicted model, not a curated record.
AACUCGGGUUUUCCCUUAAAAAACCCCUAAAUCUUUCCCCUUUUAAACUAAAAAUUUCCUGGGGGGGAAAAACCCAAAUGAGUCUUACUAAAUUUUUUCUAAGCCCCUUUCGGGGGGUUU